CGGGGUCUCUCUUUUUGGACUUCUGUUUUGGAUCAGAUGUGGCUCUUUCCAUAAUAUACCAAAUAUGCACCUGGAGGUACCAAGUAUAUGCCAAUGUCAAGAUCACAGUCAAAUAAUAAUCAAGCAAUUUGAAAUGGAGUUGGCAUUAUCCAUUGAAGUUGGAAGCCAGAAGAGCCUAAAGCAACAGCAGAGCCCAAAGAAACUGGAAAGAGCCUGGAAUUCUCUCCCACUUUGCCAGUUCCUCUCUUCCUGUCUCUCAUAUAGGUGUAGGGCAUUGAUCUCCAAAAUCUCAAACCAAUGGGCUUUGGGACUCAUGUUGAAUCAUGGAAAGGGUUGUUUGUUUUGUCUUUGAAUCCCUAAUAUAAUACCUGAC
RNAcentral lists this long non-coding RNA (373 nucleotides) under Monodelphis domestica (gray short-tailed opossum). Its description in RNAcentral is "lncRNA (ENSMODG00000043710.1)". Lineage: Eukaryota; Metazoa; Chordata; Mammalia; Didelphimorphia; Didelphidae. The record is from RNAcentral.